Molecule: long non-coding RNA, 7119 nt
Filed under: Brassica napus (rape)
Lineage: Eukaryota; Viridiplantae; Streptophyta; Magnoliopsida; Brassicales; Brassicaceae
Description: long non-coding RNA (BNAP_LNC023290)
Source: RNAcentral
AAAUAGCACCUUUCUAAGUUUAUCCUUUGAAAAUUUUAAAUUUUUUAUUUUUCAAAAUUUGAAAUCUUAUCCCCAAAACCUCAUUUCUCACCUCUAAACCCUAAACCUUAAACUCUAAACUCUAAACCCUAAACCCUAAACUGUAAACCCUAAACCCUAAACUCUAAACCCUAAACCCUAAAUCAUAAACUCCACCCUUUAACUAUAAACCCUAAGUUUAUGACUUUUGAUAAAACAUUAAGUGCUAUUUUUGUGACUUUUGACCUUGAAUGCUAGUUUGGGAAUAAAAACUUGAUUUAGUGCUAUUUUUGUCUUUUUAUCUUUCUUUAAUGUCAUUUGGAUUCUUUUAUUUAUAUCAAAACUUCGAGGAAAAUCCCACAAAUACAUUUUAUUCAUUUAUUUAACCAAUUCAUUGGCUUUUUGAAGCGUCAACUAGGGCUUUGAUUAUUACGUUUUUGUCUUAUCUUAGAAGGUAACACUGUAAAAAUCUUACCCCCACCCUGAUGUUAUUAUUUUUAUUUUUUUUGAAAAGACCACCCUGAUGUUAUUGCUACAACGAUAAAGUAAAAUUUGAGGUCGCGGUGGGACUACUGCUGUCUAUCCUGACGAAUACCUUUGAUAAUUAUAUAAUUUUGCACGAUAGGUUACAUAUUUAUCUGUAAACUACUUCAACUUUUUUAAAGGUAUUACAUUUUUUGUCAACAAUAUCCGUGGAUGUCGGUUAUAAUAUCUGUUUUAAUCAGUUUUAAGGAAAAUAAGCCAUACAAAUACAUCAUUGAAUUUUGGAUAAUUUGGUUGACAAGAGAUCAAACAAGAACAUUUUUUACAUAACUGAUAGUACUAUACAAGAUAACAUAUACCAUCAAUAUAUACAUCAUAAUUCUUUUAGUAAGCUAAUUAUGCCGCUGCAAAAGGACUAAUUAUGUUAUUUGAUGAAAAUAAUUAUAUGUGUAAAUUUAAUAUCUACAACCUAAUUAUUUACAUUAAGAAUAUAGUUAUAAGGAUCAAUUAGACAAGUUUUUUUCUUUUUUUUUCCAGUUAGACACGCUUAAAUCAUUAAAAGAUCAUAUAGAUGUAAAAAAAGAUUUCUAAUAUAAUACUCAUAAAAAAUAUAUUUUAACUCAUAUUCCCUGCGUUUCAUAUAAAGUAUCGUUGAAAAGAAAAAAUUUCGUUACAAAAUAAAUGUCAUUUUAGUAUUUCAAUGUAGAAUUUAUUAACUUUAUUUUCUAGUUUAUUUUCUUAUUGGUUGAAAUAUUAUUAUGUGUAUGGAUAAUGAUGUUUUUAUAUAAAAAAUAUACCAAAAUUAUAUGUGUGUGCACAGAUCUAAAAUGAUACUGAAUACGAAACAGAGGGAACAUACCUUAUAAAAAAACUAAAAUGAGAUAAAUUUGUUUGUAAACGCUCUAAAACGCAUAUAUAGCAUAUAUAUGUAUCAGGAUAAUAACCGAUAAAACAGUAAAAGUAUUAUCUUGUCCCGCAGAAGAUAUAUAAUCCUGUAUGCAAAUUUAAAGCAUUUAAAUAAUUAACAAGCCUUAGUCGGUAAAGCCUAACCAGGCUGCAAUUUUUACCGCGUCAAUUCCAGCUCACUAAUCAAUAAAAGCAAAAAUAUAAGUUAAUUAGGAGAAAAAGCCUUAGCGGUGUGCGUGUGAGGCAAAGCCCUAAACCAUUUCAUAAUAUGUAUAUAUACACGCUUAUAUCUUCGUUUCCAAAAUCAUUCUCAAAACAAAAAAAACAUAAUAUACAUCUAUGCUUAGCAUAUCAUGAGCAAUAUCCCCACAUCUCUCACCGACUCAUCUCUUUCUAUCUUUCUCCUCACUAUCUCUUCUGCCGUCGAUCCUUGGCCCUUUUCUAUCUCCGUCUUCUAACAUCAACCUCUGCCUUUUCAUCGUCCUUCAGCGUUUCAUUCAAUCAGUAAGAAAGACUUUAUCUUUUUAAUGGGUUUUGAAGAUCAAGAAGAGCAGAAACAGAGUCCAAAACAGAGUCAGAGCCAGAUGGUGUUCAAGUUUCACUUUUAUGUUCCCCAUCUCCACAUACACCAUCAUCAUAACCACCAUCAUGUUCCGAAAGGCUGUGUCGCGAUCAUGGUGGGACACGAAGGAGAUGAAGAAGGUCUACACAGAUUCGUGGUUCCGUUGAUGUUCUUGAGCCAUCCUCUGUUUUUGAGUCUCUUGAAAGAAGCUGAAGAAAAGUACGGAUUCAAACACGCGGGCCCGAUUACGAUUCCCUGCCGCGUCGAUGAGUUUAAGCAUGUUCAGGAGAUUAUCGACGAGGAGACUCAUCGUCGUCACAGUCACGGACACAACUACCACCACCACCACAACCAUCUGCCAUGUUUCUGAAGACCUGUUGGUUUGGUUUGGUUUGAUUUGACAUAUAAUUGGGUAUAUUGGUUUGGUUUGACUUUCCUUUUGAGAUUGUUUUAGUUAUUGCAUAAUUUUCGUUUGUAGUUAGUGAUGAUGAUGAAAAACAGCGAGUAGUUGAAUGCGAAUGCGAAUGCUUCUCAGCUAUUACGAUGAAAUCGUGAGGAGUACGAAAUUUCAGUUUGUGGUUGUGGGAUAAUGUAUUUAUUUGUUUUUUUUUUCAAGAAAAGGAAUGUAAAAUUUCUUUUAUUUUUAAUUGAUUUUUACGCGUUCGGCCGUUGGGCGUGUUACUAUUACAUCCACAAUGCCAAGUGUCCGGAAUAUAUUGAGAAAAUUAUUCUCAAAGACACAAUUGUGAGUUUUCAAUUACACAACGACGUACUUUCUGCCUUAGACACACAUUUUCUAGGUGUAAUGUCAUAAUUGACCCUGAGCUUGCGUAACUAAAUAGAAGAGACUCGUUUGAAUAAAAUAGGUUGUGUUUUAGCAUAUUUUUUCAAUCAUUAUAAUUCUUAUCUAUAAAUGAAUGGCGAAGAAAAUUUGAAUAUUUCUUUUAUUUUAUUAUCUUUAUCUUCAAACGAAAUUCAUUCAUUGCUUUCUUUCUACUUUUUUUUUUUUGUUCUUAUUUUCUUUCGACUCUGUUUCGUGAGGUUUAUUUUCUCUGACACCACCAUAGCUGCUGCAACUCUUUUACUUUUUUUCAUUACCACUCACUCCACAUCGAUUGUCAUUGUCGUCUUCGCAACAUCACCUUCACCGUCGAAACAUCAGCAUCCUUUCACCACCAUUGAUGUCUCCACAUCACUAUGAAAGAGACUCGGUCUGUGGAGGUCGUGGUGGAGGUGACAGUGGAUAUCGCAAUGGAGGUGACGGUGUUUACGGAGAAAGCGGUGGUGGAAAACAUGAAGGUGUAUAUAGUGGUGGAUGUGGCUACUCGAGAGAAGGAGGUGGUGGUGGAUGUGGUGGAGGUGGAAGACAUGAGGUUGGGUAUACGGAGAUGGAGGUUGUGGAUACAAGUCAUGUUAUUCUUUUGAAUUAAAAAAAUGUGUUCUGGUAUUAUCAUUGUCCCAAACUAAUCUUAUAUCCAUAAUAAGACAUCCACAACCGCAGAUAAAACACUGUUUACAAACAUUACACAUAUGGUCAAGUUACUCUAUUUUACACAUAUGGUCCUUCCAUUUUCUGGAUUUUUGCAAUUUGACCCCAACAUUAUUCAAUUUGCUUAUAGAUCCUCUUGAUUUCGUCGCAAACUUUUAAUGAUGUACUUUAAUCCGUAAUAAUAAUUUUCUUAUCAACUCAUAUCCAUACUUUUUAUGUCCAUUAUAAAUUAUUUAAUAAAAUAAAAUUUUAUAAAAUAUCAAAAAUAUAUAUAUGGAUACAAAUAUAUUUUGUCCACAUAAACUUUUCCACAAAACAAUUAUAACAAUUUCGUGUCUACAGGAGCUUGUUCACAUAAGAUGUGUCCACUGAAUUAUGUCCACAAAAAAGUUUAAUCCAUUUCUCACUUUCAAAACGUCACAAUACGUUCUCUAGAUAGAUUAUCUUCAAACAAAUAACACAAACCCUAGAUAGAUUAAACUUCAAACAAGAGCUUCGUCUACAAUAAAAUGUUAACAAUCAUAAUUACACAAUUAUAAUUGUAUGAGCUUGUCCAUAAGAACACGUCCAGCACAAACUUGUUUAUAACAUAUUCACGUGACUCUUGUCCACAACAUAUAUAUCCACCAGAAAACUGUCCACAAUGUUAACACUCGUCCACAAUUCACAUGUCCACAUAAAACUCGUCCAUAUAUAUAGACGUAUCCAUAAAAACAUGUCACAAAAACCUGUCUCCAAUCCCUUCUCCAACUUCUUUAUUUUAUUCAUGAUUGAUAAAAGAGAGAGACUUCAAGUAUAAGAACAUAUUUGUUGUCCUUUUAUUGAUAGAAAACUAUAAUUUGAGGAUUGUGAAGUAGAACUAGGCAAAUAAAAUUUAUCGGGGGUAUAAACUGCACAACUGAAAGUUUGGUAUUAAUUUAAGAGGACAUUUCUGCAAAAUAAAAAAUCCGGGCCCAAUCGAAAGAAAUCAAAAAGUGAAGGACCAGAUCUGAAAAUAAUUGAAAAUCCACCAUUGUUGCUCGAUCUCUUAUGUGACGAGACAGAGGCGGCGAUGAUGAGCACGACGAGGCUUGAAUACGAGCAUUACACCGUCGGUAGAGCAAGACGACGGAGAUGGUCUGGUGGCCCGGGACAGACGCGACGAGCUGCCGCGGAGAAGAGAGAGCACGAGACAGGUGAAUCAUGGAGGAUAUGAAGCAUACGCGACAGUGGAGGAUUGCAGUGGAUAACUGUUGGUUGGAGUACAGUGACUGGUAAUUGUAAUGGGAGAGAAGUCGCCAAGCUUGGUUUCCACGAGUUGCAGUCGAAGGUGAGAGGACCCACAAAGAAGAUGAAUCCAGUGAAGCUCGCGACAAGACAUAAGGUGUUCCAGUUUGGAAAAAAUUAAUAGCCCAACUAUUUUCCUAACUUAACUAAUAAGAAGAAAGUAACUAGUUCUUUCUUUUGCUAACUACACGUGAAGCUAAAGGGCAUAAUGGUCAAAAAAGAUCUUGGUUUCAUGAAUUGUGUGCUUCAAGCACAAUAUGUACUUUUGUGAAAGGAAAAAGACAAAUGUGUCUUUUAUGGUAACUCACUCGAAUAUAUUCUGUUGUUUAUCUGAAAAGUGAAAAAUUCAACAAUAUCUUCGAUUUACCGGAAAGCAUUCUAUCAUGACUUUGAUUUGAGAUCUUCACAAACUAUAUCGACCAUAAUUAGUCUAUUUUUAAUGGGACAUCCGGUGAUCGAAAUUAAGCUAGGCGUAAGUUAGACAGUCGGUAUAGAUUUAGUUUUUUUUAUUGUCAGCACUAUAACCAGACACAUAUACGCUCUGGAAACCAAACUGGUAACUCCGCAUCCAUAUGCACGACAAACAAACGACGGUUGAUUUCUUGCACUGCGUGUGAAACAAUCCAUUUUUGAAUUCUGCAUCUGUGGUAUAUAAAUAAGAUUUGAGCUGUUGAAACUUCUAUUCAAGAACUUUACGUCUUCCAAAUAAUUUGCAAAGGCUGGCCAUUCUUAUGAUUCUGAAACCAUCUUUAACAACUGAGAACAAUCCGUUGCAAGUGUAACAGAAAAUUGUCUAAGACUUCUCAUGCAUUCCAUUGCCCAAAUGAGAGCCUCUAUAUCCGAAUGAAGUGGCGACUGACUCACUCUUGUAUUCCUCGCUCUCAUUAGACCAUCAAAGUCCUCCAGUGUGCUAUACAACCCUUGGUCCGAAUAGAUUUCCUCAUUUUUCCAAGAUCUAUCCGUAAAGUAUCAUCUACGUGGGAUAUUCAGUAUUAUCGCUGCGACUGGUAAUCUAGUAUGAUCUAUUUCCCGUGUAAGAAAAAUUUGUGUCUCAACCCAAAGUAACGACUCCGUAUCUGCCUAUCUGAGAGUAUCUCAAAUAUCAAUAUCCAAAUUGAUAAAAAAAAAAAAUUUCUUUCCAUAUGUACCAUAAGAUAAAUGCAAUGGUCUACCAAUUUCGGAGAAACCCUCCAAAGAAAUGACCCAUGUUUGCAAAAAGUGAUUACGUGAGAAAAAUAUAUGGAUUCAUUGGAAUUCGUGAAAGUUCGCAUACCUGGAAUGUUGAAUCCGUUUAUGUUGAUGAAAGAAAAAAAAACUGAUUAAUGUGGAAUACACAUAUUCUCGAACUGAAUAACGGAUCAUAUAAUCUAACACGUUAGGCAUAUUUCAAUUUUAUAUAUAGGCUUGUGAUUUCUUUUUAUAAGUUUAUAUCCCAUUUGACUUCUCAAAUCAUACAAAGUCAAAAUAUAUAAUAUAAAAAUUACCAAAAGGAUUACGUAAUAAUAAGUACAUUAAAAAUACUAAUCUCAUGCAGCUGUUGGAAAGACGGAAACAAACAUAAAUAUAGCGUAGUUAUCUAAAACGUUACGACUAUUUAUCUCUACAAUUUGGGCCGGCUUAACAUUGCUAUAUGUCGUAGGACAAAAAAUUUUUUUUUUUACCCUCUAAGAUUUAUAUUCAGAUAAUAUUUAACAUAUUUUUAAAAUUUAAUCAGUAAUAUUUUGUUUAUUUUGUGAUGAAAACAAAACUAUAUGCAUAUUAAAUAUUUUUGGCCCUUUACAAUUUUAUUUAUUAUAUUUAUAAUUUUUUAUAUAAAAAUAUAGACUUUUUAAAAAAAUUAAACCCUUAACUAUUAAUAUACGGGAGGACACGGGCUUGGACCCGGGGCAGUUGAAGAAGCCCCCCCCCUCCUCAGCCGGCCCAGUCUACGAUUAGCGGAAUGAGGUAUUAUAAGUUUGACCAAUUUAAUCGUGUUCAUCCAUUUAUCUAUAAUCACGGUGGCCAUACAUUAGGAAGGGACGGGCCAAGCCAACGGCUGGUGAAAUACACAUUUCUGUAAGGGCAAAUCUCCAAAAUAGCAUUUUUCUAAGUUUAUAUCACAAAAAUAACAUUCAAAAACUAAAAUGACCAAAAUAGCACCUUUCUAAGUUUAUCCUUUGAAAAUUUUAAAUUUUUUAUUUUUCAAAAUUUGAAAUCUUAUCCCCAAAACCUCAUUUCUCACCUCUAAACCCUAAACCUUAAACUCUAAACUCUAAACCCUAAACCCUAAACUGUAAACCCUAAACCCUAAACUCUAAACCCUAAACCCUAAAUCAUAAACUCCACCCUUUAACUAUAAACCCUAAGUUUAUGACUUUUGAUAAAACAUUAAGUGCUAUUUUUGUGACUUUUGACC